UAGCCGGCCUGAGAGGGUGAACGGCGACAUUGGGACUGAGACACGGCCCAGACUCCUACGGGAGGCAGCAGUGGGCAAUAUUGCACAAUGGGGGAAACCCUGAUGCAGCGACGCCGCGUGAAGGAUGAAGUAUUUCGGUAUGUAAAGCUCUAUCAGCAGGGAAGAUAAUGACGUACCGACUAAGAAGCACCGGCUAAAUACGUGC
RNAcentral lists this ribosomal RNA (205 nucleotides) under uncultured Lachnospiraceae bacterium. Its description in RNAcentral is "partial 16S ribosomal RNA". It matches the Rfam family "Bacterial small subunit ribosomal RNA", at positions 284 to 508 of the family's 1533-position model. The record is from RNAcentral. Lineage: Bacteria; Bacillati; Bacillota; Clostridia; Lachnospirales; Lachnospiraceae.